UUUUUUUUUUUUUUUUUUUUUGCUGUGAAUAUUCUAAUGCUAAGAAUUGUGUUUGGGGCUAUGUGUGUCUUCUUGGCCCUGCACGCAGCGUUAGAAAGCUGAAACAUCCCUGAGCAAACUCGGUGUUUUAUUCGUUACACGUUCAUUUUGCUCAAAAUUAACAGCUUUUCAUGCUCUUGGAGCUCAACAAAGAGCAAGGUCUGUAACCAGCCCAGUGCCUUGGCGCCACGCAGCUGCUCCUUCCUGGUUGCAGGCAUUGCAAUCAGAGGUUCAGGGUCGCUAAGUCUCAUUUUCCUGAAUAAUUGAUUGCCUUAUUUCCUGUGGAAUUAAGAAAACUCAAGCAAUGAGACAGGUGUUAGCAGAAAGAAAACACAGUUUACGUGAGCAAAAGUCCCCUUUGGGGGAAGCCAAGGGACAAGGUUGUGGGAUUACUGCCAGAUGCUUUCUGUUUCUGCUCCUUGUAUCGGUCACCUCUGGCUGUGUAACAAAGUUUCUCUAAACUUGAAAGCUUAACCCAGUGAAGGCUGAUGAUCCCCCAGUUUCUGUGCAUGAGGAAUGUGAGAAGGGUGCAGUUUCCCCUCAGAUUGUGGUCAAGCCAUUGGGCCAGGGCUGCGGUCAUCAGAAGGCUUGGCUGGGGCUGAGGGGUCCACCUUCAGGCUCGCUCAAGUGGCUGUUGGCAGGAGGCCUCAGUUCCCUGCCAUGUGGGCCUCUCCGUAGGGCUGCCCAUGACCUAGCAGCUGGCUUCUCGGAGUGAGUAACCCGAGAGCAAGGAAAGACGCUCCCCAUGGAAGCCACUGUGUCUUUUGUCACCUAACCUCAGAAAUGACAUGUGAUCACAUUUGCCUUAUUCUGUUGUCACAGAGCUCGGCCCUGGUCCAGCAUGGGGGUGGGGGGUCCACAUGUGGAUGUGAAGACCAAGAAGCAGGGGUCACUGGGGGCUGCCUUAGAGGUGCCUGCCGCCACCUGCCACCAGGCUCUGUUUCCCUCUGGGGCAGACAUACCCCAUCUUCCUCUCCUCCCUAUUCUGUCCCUGUGGUUUGGUGGGACUGGCCCUACCACUGCCCUCCCUGGGCUCCAGAGCAGGGAAGAUGAUUCCGGCCUGGACAGCCAGCUUGUUCCAUCCCUUGGCUGCCAUGAUGGGGUCACAGAAGGGCAUGUGGACAAGUUGAUUGGGUAAGAGCCACUUCUGGCAUUGUUGGGAGAAUAUGCUGGAAGACAGGAGUUGUUGGCAGCUGUCCUUGUUGCUGCAGGGGAAGAUCCUGACCCCACAUGGUGACAACACAGUGGAGAAAUGGGGAGAGAGAGAAAUCAACAGGUCCUAAUGAGACCGUUUGCGCUCCUGGGUCCAUCUCUCCCUGAAGCUGUUUUUUUUACUCUGGAUGUUUCAGUUAAUGUGAGCUGAUAAGUUCCUUCUGUUAUUUGAGGCAGGUUGUGAGUGGUCUUCUCUCUGUUGCAGUCCUGAGUCCUGACUAACCAGGCUGCCUUGUGUGGCUCCUAGGGAGUCAGGGCAAGUUGUGUCUUCUCUGUGUGAGUAAAACACAAUCUCAGCCAUCAGCCUGCCAGGUCUGUGGAGCAGACUCCUAGUCGUCGUUACCGAUAGGGGGAAGCCAGUGUGUCUUGAGGAGAACCCACUGGAUCAUUCCACAGAGCACUUCUCAGGGCCUUCCGGCCUGUGUCUCACGUUGGGCCCAGCCUCCCAAGCAGUCUUGCAUCAUGACUUUCCGUCCUGAGGCAUAGUGGUGUGCUAAGAAGAACUCGGUACCAGUUGUGUGACUGGGGCGGUUUCCUUCCCCCUUCUGAACCUCUGGUUCGUGGUCUUUAAAGGUAUACAAGGCGGCGUUGGGGCCUGCCUGCCCCUCGUGUGCGGUGGUGUUGGGCAGGAUGCCGUGGAUGUGGCCUGGCGGGGAAGGGCUGUGUCUCCUCCUCUGCUGGGGAAGCAGCACCAUCUCUGGUCCUGGCUGUGCUACGCAGUAACUGCUCACGUCUCAGGUUCCCUGUCUGUAAACUGGGGCAUAAUAUUCUUAACUCGUAUCUAUAUACUUUUGGUGGCAGAAACCCAAUCCAGGUUAGCUUCAGUCCACAGGGGAAUUUUGGGUCACUGGGCCUGGGUGCUCCCGUGAGGUCAGUGCUCUCUCUCCCAGCUCUUGGCUCUGUGUCCUCCAUGUGUGAAUGGCACGGUUAGGUAGGGGUCUCUGAGGGCACAGGUCCCCUGCAAGAUCCAAAGAGACUUUUUUUUUUUUUUUGGUUUUUUUGGGCUGCAUGUGGAAGUUCCUAGACUAGGGGUUGAAUUCGAGCUGCAGCUGCCGGCCUACGCCCCAGCCACAGCAAUGCAGAAUCCGAGCCGUGUCUGCCACCUACACUACAGCUCACGGCAACACCAGAUCCUUAACCCACUGAGUGAGGCCAGGGGUUGAACCCACAUCCUCACAGACACUAGUUGGGUUCCUUACUGCCGAGCCACGACAAUGCGAACUCCGAGACUCUCUUUUCCCGAUGCUCACAGGUAAUGUCUUAGGAAGACUCUUCUCGGGCAUGUGGUGACCAGGAGCAAGCAGAGGCCAUGCCUGGCAGCCUGGCCAGGUCCCCAGGGCAAGCAGCGUGCAGGGCAAUUGUGUCUGUUAUGUUUCCUGACAGAAUUAUGGGGAAGAUACAUGAGCUCAGGCCCCGGAAGGGCUCAGGGCAGCUCGAGGCCCAUCGUAAAGGUGUCCUGGUCUUGCUGGCUGAUGCUUUGGCCACGUGUGCUGACCAGGGCUCAGCCAGGCCAGAAUCUUGUGGCUCCUGUGCUCAACCCAGCUUCCCCUGCAAUGAGCAUCUUGGAGCUUUUGGCCACUGGCCUUCAUUUGACCUUCAGCCCCUCCUGGUGUUAUUUUUCCAGCCUCGCCUGCCUGGCAUAUGUCCCUUUGUUUAUUUGUCCCCAUUGGGCUGCCGAGCAUGGUCUGCUGUGACUGCGUCCUGCCUGUGAGACAGGACUGGUUGGCGCCGUCUGUAAGGGAGGCCUCGGGAGCCCUGCUCACACCAUGCCACUGCCCCCGGGAGACCCUUACUGACUUUCUCUGAGGGCUUUAAGCUGUUUCUGCCCUAAGGCUCAGUCUCUGACUUUUUUUGAUUUUAAAUUAUUGGAAAAAGAUGAAGCCUUGCCUUUUGUGAGAAGGAACAGUGCAUGUCUCGUGUCCAUCUAAAGGCAUUGAUUACAUUUUUAAUCUCAAGAGGCACAUAGUCAAAGUUGAGAAUGUCAAAUCUGGCAGAUACUGGCUUGAAUUUUGAGCCUGUCCUGGGUUAGGGAUGACGUUUGGAGCCCAGAGUCUGUUCCUUUUCAUCACCAACCCCCAGUGGGAAUACAUACUCUGACAGGGAGAGCCAGUAGGUUUCAUCCUGUUGCCACCUCGGGGAGCGUGACUGCCUGGGGUUCUGGGUUGAGGAGAGGAUUCUGAGGUCCCGUCUGGGCUCAGCAGGUAAGAGUGCUGUUAGUGACUGGUGAUGUCUGCCAUGGACAAGAGUUUGCCAUCCCUCUGUGGGGGCUAGGGGAGCGGUGGGAACCGCUUGAGAUAAAGUCCCAGAGCCAGGUCGGCAGAGUCAUGCAUGAGACUGAGAAGGGGAGGAUUUGUCAUUCUCAUAUGAAUUCCCCUUGCUCGGUUCUGUCUCAUGAAAGAAACAUGCUCUGGGGACUGUUUCAAACCCAUUAUGUAAAACAAAGCAAGACGUUGCCAUCAGGGUGAGUAGAGACCACAAAUAAGGUGCGGUAGGUCUUUCAUCAAAUGAGCACUUGCUUUGAUAUCUGGUCGUGAGCCGAGAGCUGGGGAGGAAGAGAGGGGUUCUUUGACUGGAGGAAGCUCUGGUGGCUGUUGUGUUUCCUGACAAGCCCUGCUAUGUUUCUGCCACACUGGAGCAUCAGCCCCAACCUGAUUUUUUUUUUUUAACUUUUUUUCUCCUUGGUUGGUGAUGGGGUUGAACUCUCUCCCAAGCACCAAGGGUCAUCCCUGAUUUGUCUGAUCUGGUCAAGAUAAUUCCAUCUCUUUUCCAUAAUGAUUGGCUCAGGUAAGGUGACUUGAUCCAACUAGGUGUGGCUGCUGAACUUGGUGCAGGAAAUGGGGCCAGGAUCUAAUUCUGCCCAUGGGGAUGUGGUUGAGCUUUGCCAGGACUUUGGAAGAGGCUGGUCCCCUGGUGCAUGGCCGAGGUGGCUCCCUUUGGAACAUGUGCUGCGAGCGUGUAGAGGCUGGAACUUCUGUAGCCACUUUACCGCCAGGAGGGAGACAGCCCGAGGGGGAAGCUUCUGCUACAGCUUGGCGGCGCAGAGAGGAGGGGUGAGGGAACUGGGCCUUUCUUAUGACAUCCGUGGGCUGUGCAAAUUGCUUUCCCCCAGAAGCCAGGCUUCCCCCUUGUGUUGGCUGGUAAAUCCCCUUUGCUUGUUAAACCAUUUGGGUUUGGGUUUUCUGUUUCUUGCUUUAUCUCAGGAACACUCACAGAUGCAGAAAGCUUGGCCCACCAUCUCCUGCCCAGCCACAGGCUAGGUGCGCUUCCUCUGAGCCAUCCUUCCAGGGGAACCAGGAUCCCGCUGUAGCUGCCCUGCCAUUGCUGUCUGUCUCUGUUGUCUGGUGUGCAGGCUGUGAGCCCCAUGAGCAGGGACUGUGCCUUUGUGCUUCGCCUUGCUUUCCUUGCCCCUAGCACCAGGCUUGGCCCCAGCAGGUGCUCUGUAAUAUCAGUUAGAUGAGGGAGUGCAGGGACCACAGGGCCAGUGGCAGCGCCACCUGGUCCGAGGUGUACUGAGGACCGUCCGCUCUUGGCACCCCCGACAGCACCAUCUUUCAGCACAGAGGAGUCACACGGAGCUCAGCUUCAGACCUGCUCAUGUUGUCAAGUGCCCUAAGAUGAUAUUCUGGUUGCAUUUUGGGACUGAGGGCUCUCUGGAAAUCCCUCAACCAUCAAUUUUCAUCUUAUCGAUUAUGGGUAGGUAGCGAGAGCUCUUCGUAAGCGGCAGAAACCUACCUGAGACUGGCUUAUGGAAAGGUGCUGUGGACUGGAUCACAUGACUGAAAAGUUUGGGAGAAAAGCUGGCUCUCUGCCCAGCUGGACCCAGCAGCUCAGGGGUGUCUUUCGGGACCUGCAUCCUUCCGCGUGUCCCCUCGCAGCUUUGUUCCCAGGCCUGCUCUUCUCUCGUGGUGACAAGAUGGCCCCCCAGGCAGCACUCAGUUGCAGACUCAGCAUCCCUUAAAACAAACAAACAAGCAAAAAACCCGACCUCUUUAUUCUCUUGAAAUGAAAUUCGUAGCCAACUUACCCUACCUGUACAAAUAAUUGUGUCAUUAUUACACCCUACCUCUAAUAUGAAGGAGAAUUAAAAGGAAAGCAAUUUACGGUACAAAGUAGGUUAUAACAUGCAUUGUUUAGGCAUGACUUUUCUAGAAAAACACGAUGCAGUUAAGUGCGCAUGUCUACUUAUAAUGCCUGAGUUUGGAUUUUAAGGUGAUAAGAUCAGAAGUCAUGCUUGAGAAGUCCAGGAAAUUGAAAGUGCAGAGCAUGUGUGGCCCCCAGGGUGAAAACUGGCCUAUUCAGCACGUGCUUGAUGAAUCUGAGGACAGGCUCAGAUCACAAAGAAGCUUUUCACCCACCUCUGGAGCCGUCAGGGCGGUUGAGGACAUGGUGGGCUGUCAUUGGCUCUUGGAUCUACGGGGGCUGUCUUGGUCUUUGAGGACAGUUUGGAGCCCGGGCCCCACUCUCUCCUGCUGCUAGCAGCUGUCAGCAGGCCGGUGACCAAAAGCAUCUCCACACUUGGGUCUUGCUUAGGCUCUCCUCUGCAUUCCAGUUACCCAGGGAGCUUUAAGACUGUCCACCCCUCUCGAGGGCAGUGCUGUCCCCGGGGAGGAUCGCUGCUCUAGCCUCUUCCACGGGGUUCUUGUUUUCAAGACCGUUGGCACAUGUGCCUGUGUUCAGGCACCUUCUGGUCCUGUUCACUUGGCCAGGGACCGAUGAACCCUGACCGCACGGCAUUGUCUGUUGAGCCCCUGGUGCCCUGGCCCUUCCCGACCCUCCCACCCUUCACUUCUCCUUGGGCUUGAAGCUGGUUCCCCAAGGUUGCUGGCUCCUUCGCUCGGCUGAGUCUCAUUAGCUGAGUGAGCUGUGCUCUUCGUCAUUCUUUAGCAUGUCCUUGUCAGCAGCUGACAGGUCUUUAGUGACUUAGACCGGAGCAGCCAAGGAGAGCUGAGUGCAUGGGGUGGGACUGGCGUAUGGGGACAGGGACGCACACAAGAUGUGCCUGUCAGGGCAGGAGAUCGGAUGAUGUAGGAGGAGCUGUUUUACGGAAGUUCAGUGCUGCUGGGAUCCAGUCAAGGGUGGUUGGUUAUUUAAUACUCUCGCUCAUUAGUUGAUUCACUCGUCAAACAUCUCUUCUGUGUUCAGCUGGGUCAGUCAGAGAGAAACGAGAUACAGCAGUGAACCUCUAGGUGCUGAAAAUCGGGGAAGGACUGUAUAAACACAGACUUUAACCAACAAUUGCCUGUGCUCCAGUUAAGUUGGUCGUUCUUGGAAGGAAGUGUGGGGCCAACAUGGACUUGAGUCCAGCUUUUAAGGUCAGGACCAGGGGAAGCGGAGCGAAGCCCUAAGGUGCAUAAUUUAAGGAGGCUUGCUCUGAGGGCCCCGCACGUGCUUGUUUAGCAUGUAGGUGCAUGAUCUUAGCUGUCAUUUCACCCUAGUGCCUCUUUUGUUUUUUUUUUUAAUAGUUGAUUUACAGUGUUCUGUCAAUUUCUGCAGUACAGCAAGGUGACCCAGUUUUACACACAUUCUUUAUUGCACAUUAUUCUCCAUCAUGUUCCAUCACAAGUGAUCAGAUAUAGUUUCUUGGGCUCUACAGCAGGACCUCAUUGCUUAUCCGUUUCACCCCAGUGCUUCUUGUCUAGAAAACUUCAACAGUAGUAGUCUCUCCCUUUUUUUUUUUUUUGGCUACACCCAUAGCAUGGGGAAGUUUCUGGGCCAGGGAUUGAACCUGUGCCACAGCUGUAAGCUAAGCCACAGAAGUGACAACACUGGAGCCUUAACCUGCUGAGCCACCAGGGAACUCCACCUCCCUUCUAGAUCCUAUGCAGAAGAUGAUGCAUGAGCAGCGCUGGCUAAGUACUAAGUAGAAUGCAUCUGUGAUGUUAUUAUUGGUUUUGUGCGAGUAAAUUAUUCCUCCAUUCAAGGCUGCAAAGAGUCAUUUUCUGGAGUUAAUCUAGCCUGCUGUUGCUCACAUGUAACUAACUAUCUAAUAAAGAAUUCUCUGGGCUGAGGCACUAACUGCCUUGCUUAGACAUGUCAUAUAUACACUGUCGUCACCAGGGGAGCUUUUAAAACUGCUACAGCCAGGCUGCCCUCCAGACCAAUUACAUCAGAAUCUCUGGAGGCAAGACCCAGACUGCUCAGGCGAUUCCCAUGUGCCGCUCAGGUUGCCAGCCUGAGGCUCAGAACAGCACGUUUCAAACCAUAAUGUGCCUGCCAGGCGCCUGGGGGUCAUGGUGGACCUUACACUCUGAUCCAGCAGGUCUGGGAGGACCUGGUGGACAGUAUUUCUAACGAGUGGUUUCUAUGUGCGUUAGUUUUUUUUUUUUUUUUUUUUUUUGUCUUUUGUCUUUUUAGGGCCGUACCUGUGGCAUAUGGAGAUUUCCAGGCUAGGGGUUGAAUUGGAGCUGCAGCUGUGGGCCUAUGCCACAGCCACAGCAGCAUGGGAUCCGAGCUGCAUCUGUGAUCUACAGCACAGUUCACGGCAACGCCGGAUCCUUAACCCACUGAGUGAGGCCAGGGAUCAAAUCCACGUCCUCAUGGAUACCAGUUGGGUUCGUGACCACUGAGCCCACAAUGGGAACUCCCACAUGGGUUCGUUUUGAGGCUGCAUCUCGUUUCCUAAGCUUGCAGGUAAAGGCUCAGAUGACAUCCCCUUGUCUGUAGCUCGUUCAGCCUCUGACUGCUGCUUUCCUCCGUCUGUAUUCCGGAAGCGAGGUCACGGGGCAAAGCAUAGGAAGGCUUUAAUGGCCCAGGUUAUAUGGUGUUCUGAUUCCAGGGCCGGCCAGGAAGACCCACCCACCACCUUGAGCUGCUUCCGUCUUCCUUCAUCAGCACUUGGCUUCUGCUUUUGUGACUGUGCAAGGUGGGAGUGUCCUUGACAUGAGUGAUUUCCCUGCUGUUUUUUUCCUUUGGGGAGCAGAGACCUGGGGAUCCCUCCACAGGUCAGAGAGUAGAAAUGCCCAAUGUAUUAGCAUCUCAGCUUAGAAUUUUGGAAGCACCAUAACAAACAUCAUGAACAGCAGAGAGCCGUAUAUAUUCCUUCAUGACCCUUUCAGACGUUUGCGGCCAGUGUCAAUUUUUGUAGAUAUUUUUCCAACUGAAGCUGACGGCCGGGAACAGACGGAGCAACAGGAGCAUCAUAGCAUCUGUCACAGCCGUCGCUGUACACCCGGGAGAAAGCCACAUGCCUGUUUAUUUUCUUGAAUGCUUCUGAAAUCCAGUCAAAGACUCAGGUUUUGUUGAUGAACUAGAAUUUUUAGGGAUUAAGCAGCAAGGUAUAUUUGCCCGAACAUCUGCAUUUUGAGACACGUGCCCUUGUGGAAUGGUGACACGUCAGAACCAUUAGGAGCUGGCGCCAGAUGUUCCCCACGAAAUGUGCAUCGAACACGGGCUUGGGCGGUUCAUCAAGAGGCGAAAAAUGCGCAGCUGUUAAGGGAAAAGGGAGACGAUUGUGUCUGAAAUGUUGCUUCAGCCCAUCACGUUUCCCCAUCAAAGCACAGAAGCAGGAGAAGCUAAAAAAAAAAA
This 8775-nucleotide long non-coding RNA is filed under the name Sus scrofa (pig). Its description in RNAcentral is "lncRNA (ENSSSCG00015024956.1)". The record is from RNAcentral. Lineage: Eukaryota; Metazoa; Chordata; Mammalia; Artiodactyla; Suidae.